UACGUAGGGGGCUAGCGUUGUCCGGAAUCAUUGGGCGUAAAGCGCGUGUAGGCGGUCCGGUAAGUCCGCUGUGAAAGUCGGGGGCUCAACCCUCGAAUGCCGGUGGAUACUGUCGGGCUAGAGUACGGAAGAGGAGAGUGGAAUUCCUGGUGUAGCGGUGAAAUGCGCAGAUAUCAGGAAGAACACCCGUGGCGAAGGCGGCUCUCUGGGACGGUACUGACGCUGAGACGCGAAAGCGUGGGGAGCGAACAGG
RNAcentral lists this ribosomal RNA (253 nucleotides) under uncultured bacterium. RNAcentral describes it as "partial 16S ribosomal RNA". It matches the Rfam family "Bacterial small subunit ribosomal RNA", at positions 524 to 776 of the family's 1533-position model. The record is from RNAcentral.